UGCGUAGGGUGCGAGCGUUAAUCGGAAUUACUGGGCGUAAAGCGUGCGCAGGCGGUUCGCUGUGUCCUGUGUGAAAGCCCCGGGCUUAACCUGGGAAUGGCAUGGGAAACUGGCGGGCUGGAGUGUGGCAGAGGGGGGUGGAAUUCCGCGUGUAGCAGUGAAAUGCGUAGAGAUGCGGAGGAACACCGAUGGCGAAGGCAGCCCCCUGGGCUAACACUGACGCUCAGGCACGAAAGCGUGGGGAGCAAACAGG
RNAcentral lists this ribosomal RNA (253 nucleotides) under uncultured bacterium. RNAcentral's name for it is "partial 16S ribosomal RNA". It matches the Rfam family "Bacterial small subunit ribosomal RNA", at positions 524 to 776 of the family's 1533-position model. The record is from RNAcentral.